AUUGAACGCUGGCGGCAGGCCUAACACAUGCCAGUCGAGCGGAUGAAGGGAGCUUUCUCCUGGAUUCAGCGGCGGACGGGUGAGUAAUGCCUAGGAAUCUGCCUGGUAGUGGGGGAUAACGUCCGGAAACGGGCGCUAAUACCGCAUACGUCCUGAGGUAGAAAGUGGGGGAUCUUCGGACCUCACGCGAUCAGAUGAGCCUAGGUCGGAUUAGCUAGUUGGUGGGGUAAAGGCCUACCAAGGCGACGAUCCGUAACUGGUCUGAGAGGAUGAUCAGUCACACUGGAACUGAGACACGGUCCAGACUCCUACGGGAGGCAGCAGUGGGGAAUAUUGGACAAUGGGCGAAAGCCUGAUCCAGCCAUGCCGCGUGUGUGAAGAAGGUCUUCGGAUUGUAAAGCACUUUAAGUUGGGAGGAAGGGCAGUAAGUUAAUACCUUGCUGUUUUGACGGUACCAACAGAAUAAGCACCGGCUAACUUCGUG
This 484-nucleotide ribosomal RNA is filed under the name uncultured bacterium. RNAcentral describes it as "partial 16S ribosomal RNA". It matches the Rfam family "Bacterial small subunit ribosomal RNA", at positions 30 to 507 of the family's 1533-position model. The record is from RNAcentral.